RNAcentral lists this ribosomal RNA (433 nucleotides) under uncultured bacterium. RNAcentral describes it as "partial 16S ribosomal RNA". It matches the Rfam family "Bacterial small subunit ribosomal RNA", at positions 29 to 507 of the family's 1533-position model. The record is from RNAcentral.
AACGAACGCUGGCGGCAUGCCUAACACAUGCAAGUCGAACGAGACCUUCGGGUCUAGUGGCGCACGGGUGCGUAACGCGUGGGAACCUGCCCUUAGGUUCGGAAUAACUCCCCGAAAGGGGUGCUAAUACCGGAUAAUGUCUUCGGACCAAAGAUUUAUCGCCUUAGGAUCGGCCCGCGUUGGAUUAGCUAGUUGGUAGGGUAAAAGCCUACCAAGGCGACGAUCAAUAGCUGGUCUGAGAGGAUGAUCAGACACACUGGGACUGAGACACGGCCCAAACUCCUGCGGGAGGCAGCAGUGGGGAAUAUUGGACAAUGGGCGAAAGCCUGAUGCAGCAAUGCCGCGUGAGUGAUGAAGGCCUUAGGGUUGUAAAGCUCUUUUACCCGGGAAGAUAAUGACAGUACCGGGAGAAUAAGCUCCGGCUAACUCCGUG